RNAcentral lists this ribosomal RNA (437 nucleotides) under Alexandrium margalefii. RNAcentral describes it as "partial Bacterial small subunit ribosomal RNA". It matches the Rfam family "Bacterial small subunit ribosomal RNA", at positions 640 to 1113 of the family's 1533-position model. The record is from RNAcentral. Lineage: Eukaryota; Dinophyceae; Gonyaulacales; Pyrocystaceae.
UCUAGAUUUGAUGUGGUGUAGGAAUGUUAAUAGUAAUAGUGAAAUGUAUAUAGAAUUGGUAUAAAAUAAAUUGGAUAUUGGUAGCUUGAAAAGGUAGAUAUUCGAUUCACGAAAGCUUGAGGUGUGACAGGGAUUUGAGACCCCUUUAAUUCGAGACUGAAAUUAUGCAGGCAAUGUUUGUGGAUCUCUUUUUAACAAAUAAAGGUUCUUUUCCUAAGGAGUACGCUUUCACUUGUGAAACUUAAAUGUUCUGGUGGUGGUUUAGAACAAUAGUGGAAUAGAUGAUUUAAUUCGAUGAAAUGCGAUAAAGCUUAUCUGUUAUCUGAAAUAAUACCUAGGUAUAGGUAGAAUUCUAUUCGAGGUAGUGCAUGGCUGUUGGAGGGUAAUGUUUUGUAAUAUCUGGUUUCGGACAGGAAUAGCCGAUACACUUUUAGUUG